This 507-nucleotide ribosomal RNA is filed under the name uncultured Lysobacteraceae bacterium. RNAcentral describes it as "bacterial SSU rRNA". It matches the Rfam family "Bacterial small subunit ribosomal RNA", at positions 9 to 507 of the family's 1533-position model. The record is from RNAcentral. Lineage: Bacteria; Pseudomonadati; Pseudomonadota; Gammaproteobacteria; Lysobacterales; Lysobacteraceae.
GAGUUUGAUCCUGGCUCAGAGUGAACGCUGGCGGCAGGCCUAACACAUGCAAGUCGAACGGCAGCGCGAGAGAGCUUGCUCUCUUGGCGGCGAGUGGCGAACGGGUGAGUAAUGCAUCGGAAUCUACCCAGUCGUGGGGGAUAACGUAGGGAAACUUACGCUAAUACCGCAUACGACCUCCGGGUGAAAGCAGGGGACCUUCGGGCCUUGCGCGAUUGGAUGAGCCGAUGUCCGAUUAGCUAGUUGGCGGGGUAACGGCCCACCAAGGCGACGAUCGGUAGCUGGUCUGAGAGGAUGAUCAGCCACACUGGAACUGAGACACGGUCCAGACUCCUACGGGAGGCAGCAGUGGGGAAUAUUGGACAAUGGGCGCAAGCCUGAUCCAGCCAUGCCGCGUGGGUGAAGAAGGCCUUCGGGUUGUAAAGCCCUUUGUUGGGAAAGAAACUUUCCGGUUAAUACCCGGAGGGAAUGACGGUACCCAAAGAAUAAGCACCGGCUAACUUCGUG